This is a long non-coding RNA of Papaver somniferum (opium poppy), 938 nucleotides long. RefSeq lists it as uncharacterized. The transcript has 3 exons. Lineage: Eukaryota; Viridiplantae; Streptophyta; Magnoliopsida; Ranunculales; Papaveraceae. The record is from RefSeq and is a predicted model, not a curated record.
AUCUAGAUCUAUACUUCAGAGUUCACACAAAACCUCCCUCCGUUGAGCGUUUAUUUCUGUGCCGAAAUGAUUAUGGAGAUCAAGGUUAUAAAUGAUCUAGUGACCGUCAUACAGUCAUACUUCAAAUGGAGUAUAUCUCAUAUACUAUGGAGGGGAGAAGGGAAAUGGUUUGAUUUGGAUGCUUGGUAUGAGUGGAGUCGGAAAUUGGGUUUUUAUUUGUGUUCUUCUUAAUUUGAUUUCCUGGUUGUUCAGAGGUUUAAGGUGUAGUUCCUGUUCUGGUAAGUGAAAAUGAACAGAGUGUUAACCACCAACAACUGCAGAAGCAUCGGAAGAAGCAGCGGAGAUCUCGCCUGUGGAGUCAAUCGUACCCCCAAACUGAGAGUUCCCCCGAAGAAAAUCUUAACUAAAGUAAAAAAGUAUUAAAGAGCUACAUCCCUGCCAUCAAAAGCAUUUCUAAGUAUUAACAAAUUCACUCUGUUUACAGAUUUUUUUUAGCAAGUCAUCCUGCAAUUUUUUUUAGUAAGCAUUUCUAAAAGUAUUAAACAGCUUAAAGACGUGAAGUGUAUGUGAUUUUGCCUCGUCCUGCAAUUUCGUUUCAAGCUGGCUAGAAGAAUUGUAGAUGUUAACAUUAAAUUAAAGGUUCCGAUGAUGAUACCGUUUUCUGAUUGGGAUUUUGGCUACUUCUAUCAUUAAAUAAUCAAAGGAUUCAAACAGCUGAGGGAGUAAAGAAUCAAGUUGGCGAGUCAACAACAGAGGGAAUUGAGAUGAGUUUAGAGAACUAAGUUGAAUAUUCAAUGACAGUGCAAACUAAGAGUAGUUCACUAGAGGUCCUAACAAUGAUGUAGUUUUCUGAUUGCCAUUGUGACUUCUCCACUUAUGAGUAAGUCUUGUUUUUCUCAUUUCAUUGAUUUUUGCCUAAAUUUUAGAUGUUUACUUGA